Molecule: unclassified non-coding RNA, 219 nt
Filed under: Glomus sp.
Lineage: Eukaryota; Fungi; Glomeromycota; Glomeromycetes; Glomerales; Glomeraceae
Description: partial contains 5.8S ribosomal RNA and internal transcribed spacer 2
Rfam family: 5.8S ribosomal RNA (bases 1-65)
Source: RNAcentral
GUGAAUCAUCGAAUCUUUGAACGCAAAUUGCACUCUCUCCUGAGAGUAUGCCUGUUUGAGGGUCAGCCUAAAAAAAAAUCGACAUAGUCGCUGGUUCGCGGUGACAUUCGUCGGGAAUGUGGUCAUCUUAUACCUUUGUGUUUUAAGCGGCUUAAAAUUUUCUUUACGAUUCCACGAACGUUUAUAAGAUUUACUUCUUAUACAUGGAUGGUAUCGAUC